This is a long non-coding RNA of Seriola aureovittata, 322 nucleotides long. RefSeq lists it as uncharacterized. The transcript is spliced from 3 exons. The record is from RefSeq and is a predicted model, not a curated record. Lineage: Eukaryota; Metazoa; Chordata; Actinopteri; Carangiformes; Carangidae.
CUGAGACUGACAAACCAAACCUCAUUCAGGAAUGGGACAGUUUUAUUCUCUCUUCUGAACUGUCACCAGGUCUGAAUCCAGAUGUUGGGAUGUUGUAGAACAGGAGAUUGACAGCUGACGCACAUGCAGAAACGAUGUGCUGCAAUCAUCUCAACAUGGACCAGAACCUCAAAGGGAAGUUUCCAACAUGCUGUAGAAUCCGCACCACCGAGAACUGAGGCUGUUUUGAGAGCAAAUUUAUAUGUUUGUUCAUAAUGUGUCAUUAUGUGGUCAUGCUGCAUGAGAACUACUUUACCACUAAGAAAAUGAUGGAGGGGAGUCC